RNAcentral lists this ribosomal RNA (253 nucleotides) under uncultured bacterium. Its description in RNAcentral is "partial 16S ribosomal RNA". It matches the Rfam family "Bacterial small subunit ribosomal RNA", at positions 524 to 776 of the family's 1533-position model. The record is from RNAcentral.
GACAGAGGGCGCAAACGUUGUUCGGAAUUACUGGGCGUAAAGCGCGUGUAGGCGGCCAUGCAAGUCGGAUGUGAAAGCCCUCGGCUCAACCGGGGAAGUGCACUCGAAACUGCAAGGCUAGAGUCUCGGAGAGGAUCGUGGAAUUCUCGGUGUAGAGGUGAAAUUCGUAGAUAUCGAGAGGAACACCGGUGGCGAAGGCGGCGAUCUGGACGAUGACUGACGCUGAGACGCGAAAGCGUGGGGAGCAAACAGG